Vigna angularis (adzuki bean) is the source of this 104-nucleotide non-coding RNA. NCBI's taxonomy places the organism in Eukaryota, Viridiplantae, Streptophyta, Magnoliopsida, Fabales, Fabaceae. The record is from Rfam.
GUGCUUUAGGGAUGAACAUGUCCCUAACAUUCAAUUCAUCCAUCCUUUUCACUUUGUCAGCUCUUUUUUCUGUUUCUUGCUGAUCAUUAUAGGGUGGAAAAUCU